This 253-nucleotide ribosomal RNA is filed under the name uncultured bacterium. RNAcentral describes it as "partial 16S ribosomal RNA". It matches the Rfam family "Bacterial small subunit ribosomal RNA", at positions 524 to 776 of the family's 1533-position model. The record is from RNAcentral.
UACGAAGGGGGCUAGCGUUGUCCGGAAUCAUUGGGCGUAAAGCGCGUGUAGGCGGCCCGGUAAGUCCGCUGUGAAAGUCGGGGGCUCAACCCUCGGAUGCCGGUGGAUACUGUCGGGCUCGAGUACGGAAGAGGCGAGUGGAAUUCCUGGUGUAGCGGUGAAAUGCGCAGAUAUCAGGAGGAACACCAAUUGCGAAGGCAGCUCGCUGGGACGUUACUGACGCUGAGACGCGAAAGCGUGGGGAGCAAACAGG